Molecule: ribosomal RNA, 466 nt
Filed under: uncultured bacterium
Lineage: Bacteria
Description: partial 16S ribosomal RNA
Rfam family: Bacterial small subunit ribosomal RNA
Source: RNAcentral
GACGAACGCUGGCGGCGUGCUUAACACAUGCAAGUCGAACGGAAAGGCCCUGCUUUUGUGGGGUGCUCGAGUGGCGAACGGGUGAGUAACACGUGAGUAACCUGCCCUUGACUUUGGGAUAACUUCAGGAAACUGGGGCUAAUACCGGAUAGGAGCUCCUGCUGCAUGGUGGGGGUUGGAAAGUUUCGGCGGUUGGGGAUGGACUCGCGGCUUAUCAGCUUGUUGGUGGGGUAGUGGCUUACCAAGGCUUUGACGGGUAGCCGGCCUGAGAGGGUGACCGGCCACAUUGGGACUGAGAUACGGCACAGACUCCUACGGGAGACAGCAGUGGGGAAUAUUGCACAAUGGGCGGAAGCCUGAUGCAGAAACGCCGCGUGCGGGAUGACGGCCUUCGGGUUGUAAACCGCUUUCGCCUGUGACGAAGCGUGAGUGACGGUAAUGGGUAAAGAAGCACCGGCUAAAUACG